This 8711-nucleotide long non-coding RNA is filed under the name Populus trichocarpa (black cottonwood). Its description in RNAcentral is "long non-coding RNA (PTRI_LNC002227)". The record is from RNAcentral. Lineage: Eukaryota; Viridiplantae; Streptophyta; Magnoliopsida; Malpighiales; Salicaceae.
ACCGGCCAGCGGCAACCCUUCUUCCUCCAGCGACGCCCACAGAAGCAGCCCCAUUUCCAACCGAGAACCGACGGCCGGAUCUGCAACCAGCAGAGAACAACAAACCUAGAGAAAGAGAGAACAAUAAGAGAUCAGAUAAAAAAAAAGGGGGAAGAACCGAGACUUUGCUUGUGUUUUUUUCUUCUUUGCAGGUGACGUUACUCCUCACUGCCAGUGCAGAAGGGAAGAGGAGACAGAGUCGAGCCGGAUCCACCAAUUAUUUGGGGUUGUCUGCGGCGGCGGCGCGUGGAACAGACGCGCCACCACGGGUCCUGCAGUUCCAGAAGUGUCCUCUGCAAUUCCUGGAUUUUUUAGGGGCUAUUUUAUAAAUUUGAAAUUGUGUAAUGUAAUUUUUGCUUAGUUGUUUUGAAUUUGUAUUUUGAAGUGUGGAUGUAAAAAAAAAAAGGAAAAAAGGAAAAAAUAUAGUAAAAGUUUAUGUGUGUGUUUGUAUGCUUUUUAUGGAUGUUUUUUUAUGAUAAAAUUGCAAAGAUUAAAGAAGAAUUUAAUAUUUUGAUUUGCUCACGGUCAAGAAUUAUGAACUUACACGUAAUUUGUAUUUCUAAUAUCCGAUGAAAAGAUAAAAUUUUUAAAACUUCUUUAACACAUCGAAGCCACGAAGCAGCUUACCUCAGGCAGGGUACGUUAGGGGUGCUAAUACCUUCCCUAACCACAACCAGUCCCUUACCCGUGAAUCUCUGACAAGACCAGUACAUUCGGGUUUCCUAGUAACCCUCAAUUAAAUACUAGGUGGCGACUCCCAAGAACCAAUCAACCAAUCUAAGCGAAAAAUCGCCAAACGAACGCCGCGCGGGUGACGUGCGACAGAAUGACGACUCGAUUAGGGAAGGUACUGUUUCUGACAAUAUUGGACCAAGCUUUGUGUAUUUGAUGUGUUUAUGUUUUUGCAUUUUUGUCUUAUUUUAUUUUUGUUUUAUCCAUGCAUUUUGUAGAAUUGUCUCAUGCAUCACAUUUCUUUAUUUUUGAAAGCAUACACAAGCUUUUAGGUUAGGUGGGGAACUGUCGAUUUGCCCUAUGACUAUUGGUCAGAGUUCAGAUGCGUGAAACACCCAACUCAUAUCUGAGUGUCUGCUUGGUAAUGGUGGGUAUACGUACCUUAACUAUUUCUUGCAACGCCCCUAUACUGUCUUUACGAAGACCGUCACUGGGCAGGUAUGAGACCCUUUUGAGACCAGGUAGAAAACCUACCCAUGUUCACAUAAUGAAUAGAACAUGUCCUUAGGUUGUAUGUGCUAUCGUUAUUUGCAUCAAGACAAACCCUUCUUGAAGCAUCUUGAACUCAAGACUUGUGGGUGACCCAAUGGCCGUCACUCAUAAAAUUUUCAUUUGUAGAGUUUGGGCAAGAAUCACGAUUCUUGUUUCAUCAUACAAGAGUUACGACCAUAUGUCACCUUUCGAAGGGCGAGUUCAUCAUACAGAUUACAUGCUCAUACAUUUGUCAUGCAUGCACCGAGAUGAAAAGUAGGUUCCCUGACCCAAGGUCUACUACACUGGACUGAGAAAAGUUGAGAAUGGGGGUCCGAUAAGGCUUUUUGUCAAAAGGAAAUUGAGAGCAUCAAAUGUGAAGUAUUUAAACUCGAUCUGCUUGAACAAAUGCUGAACUUUAAGAGUGGAAAGGGAAUGUCUGCACAGCCUCCUGUGAAAGCACUGUCAGUCUAUGUCCCACACAAGGAAAACAUCUUUGACUUCUCUCCUCAGCACUCCACCAGUAGGGGCCAUAAACACUGAAGUGGCACCACCUCUCAUUCAUUUCAGUCAUGAACAGCAACAACGCCUUCAAUCAUCUAUGAAAGAUAAUUUCGUUUCUUGUUCAACUGCACUGUUAGUUGUUCACUGACUUCACGUCUUUCAACAGCACCCAAUAGCUGUCAGCCUUUCACGCCAUGAGCAAAAGCCUUCUUUCUAGCCAUAUCUGCUGUAAACUCCAUUCCUGUCCUGCAGCAUAAGAUGUUAAUUUGAAAAAAACAUGAGUAUACCUUGAACUUCAACAUAGCAGAGCUCUCUCUAUAAAGAUCUGUUUGUGGAUCUGCCAGUGGGGAAUCCAAAAAGGAAUGCAGUAGUUUCAGAUCAUCUAUAAUUUUCUCUUACUAGUGUCAACAUUAAAACGCAGAAGUAGAGAGAAGAGACAUGCCUAGACUGAAAACAUAAAGAAGACUGAGACUUCAACAGAGCAGAACUCCCUCUAUGGGUGCUUGUUUGUUGCACCACUAGUGAGGAAUCAAAGAGGAGACAUAAGAAUUUCAGAUUCAUCAGUUUCUCUUCUAGUAGAGACAAUGCAUGAUUCCACACGUCAGCAGCGGCGGUGUUGUGGGCUACCAAGAUUACCUAGCUGUUGGGAGGUUCUAACAAUCCUCAAACAACCAUAACAGCAUUGGAAGAUUGACAUAAUGCUGUUGUAAGGAUUGCCGAAGGAAUUGAGCAAGCUAUGAGGAUGGGAAAGAUUGAAGGUUAUACCAUGGGUGCCAGAACAAUGAUGAGAGAUGGAUCAGAAGAUGAUCCUGAAGCAUCUGUCAGACUCCAGACUUGUUGCCUCAACUCCGUUAAAUCCCAUACAACCACUGUUUCUAGGUGGUAGAAUCAAGACAAAAGAUGUGAAUAUCAUGGUGGGGUUUUAGGCCAUUCAUUUGAAUAGUUGCAAAAAUUUCAAGAAUUAAGACCGAAUGAUGAUGAGCAAGAAGCGAGUUGAGUUUGUGAAAGAUGAUGUCAUCAACCAUAUUAUCACCGGAACAUCCUCAAAAUGACAAGUGAUCGAAAUUGCUUGGUAAAACACAGAUAUUGCCAGAGUAGCUGAUCCAAGAAUGAUGCUGAAUUGUUAAUCAUUUUGUUGUGGAGUUUUGCCCUUCUGCAUUUUGUUUUGGGAUCACAUCUCAUCCUUUAACGAAACAUGUCUUUUUCUCUGUAUCUUUGUUGUUCUGAAGUCAGAAGAUGUUUAUCAUUUCAUUUUUGACAAAAAUAUUUUGAUCAAACUCCAACAUGCAAAAUUAAAGCUAAUCAAUCUUGAAGAUUAAAAGUAUUUUGAUUGCAGAAAUGACUCGAUAUUUGUUGAAAUGGCAAGAUAAACAAUAUGAGGCGACCAAACAAAUUUUGAAUUCACACAUGAAAAUAAACCACACACCAUGUAGCUAAAUUUUAGCAGUAUGCACCAUGACAUGUAGUGGAUUCAGUAGUUAUGGACUCACGAAUCAUGAUUCUUACAAGUCCAAAUCAUUACAUUGGAUGAGGUCAAAAUUUAUCGGUUCUAACCGACCUUGCUUGAAAUGAGAAAAGGCCAUCUUUGAUAUCCCUUCACUUUCUAAAGAUAUUUAUCCUUUGCAAACCUAUUUUAAGCCUGAUAGAAUAUUUCUUUUCAAAAGGAACCUUGACCAGGAUCACACUCCACACUGGGGGCAAAUAAGAGAUUUUUGUUAGCAAAGAUAAGACAAUGUUAGAAUUAAUGGAUAAGGGGAAGGCUAAGAACAAAAGUCCAACAAUUAAGAGAGGGCUAAAAGAAAGAAACCAUAGACUGGGGGCAUGUGAGAAAACUUUGAGGAAGGCUAUAGAAAAAAAAGAAAGAAAGAAAAAGAGUGGAAAUUGCCAACACUUAAAGGCAAGUCAAAGAUUAAGGAAGGAAAACGCCUAUCAAGUCUAGAAAAAGAAAAGGAGGUUUCAAUUAAGAAAAGACACACCAUACGCCAAAAGUCAAUACCAGAAAAAAAUACCGAGUUACAAACAUUGUCUUUUGGUAUCAAUGAUAAAGCCUCUAAUGAAUAGAUUGGUUAUUCAUUAAGGAAAAAGUUGGAUUUGCUUUAUGACCUAGGUUAAGAGAAUUCUGAUAUUUGAGGUUAACAAGGUUAUAUGUCACUUUCCCUACAAAGACAACAAGAGAAAGAGAAUUGAUGAAUAGUUGAUGUUGAUCCUAAGUCUUUGAAACUCUCAAACACCUUUUUGAGCUUGUGAAUUUUCCUUUCUUUCAUAGCCAUGAACCAUAGUCUGUAUUACGUGUUUUUAAAAGUCAUUUUCGAUCAAGUAAGCAAUCUGAAUCGAUAAAUGACGCUCUCAAAACUGGAAGAGCUUUUCUAUAAGGGUCGUGACUUCAUGAAUUAAGCUACUGGUUAUUAUGCAUGUUGAUAAAAUAAAUGCUAAGAAAAGAAACAACCUUUCUUGAUAAAGCCUGAGCAUCUUGUUUUUGAAAUUCACAAAAAUAUCACCUCAUCAUAGACCAUCAAAAAGAUAUACCCAAAAUUAGAGUUUAAAGUGGACACAAAGAACCAUGGGAAAGGCCAUUUUAAUCUUACAACGAGUCAAUUUCUAUUUUCAAAAUACAAGACAAUCAAAGGACUACAUUGAAUGACGUGUGUUGGGUCUUUGACCAAAAAUCUUGAUUUUUAAAAGAUCUUUUCCCAAAACUGAUAUCUCUCUGAUUUCAUUUCAACAUGACCUUUGAAAUAUGAGAUUUGAUUCCAGAACAAGAAAGAUUGUCGAACAAAGAAGAACAUCGAUUGAGUCUGUGAAAUCCUUGACAUGAAAUGACAUCAACUCUUCUCAACACUUCUUGAAAAGUUGAGACACCUUGGGGCAAUUCAGUGGACCCUGAAAAGGAAAAACAAGUAGUAUUCAGAUCAGCUAGGGGGCAAAGAAAGAUGAUUAAAUGAAGAAUCGGUGAACGGAGGACAACAUGGUUCAAAGAAAGAUAAUCAAUGAACGAACACAUUCAGAUCACACCAGGGGCAAUAUUGUUCAAAGAUAGUUGAGAUCUAGUGAACUAUAGUAGCAAAUGAUAGUGGUGCUGCACUUGAAAGACAUCUUUAUCUGGGUUUAACCUUUUAAGCAUGGUUGUCGACCGAUGUAGACACACGAUUGAAUGUAAAUGAAUGUUGAAAAGAUGCAUACCACCAAGACUGAUUGUGGAACAAUGUUGCACUUGAAGGACAUCCUCAUAUCUUCAUCUUGGGUUACCCUCUGAAACAUGGCUAUAACUCCUGACAGAUGUUAUCGUGUGAGUGCAUUUGAAUGAACAUUGAAAGGAUGCACACCAUCAAGACCGACUAUGAGACCAUCUAUUUUGAAGAUCAAAGGCGCACUUCAUUACAUGAAUAUAGGUGAUAAAUUGAACAUCAUUGAUGAGGCCGAUACAUUUCUUUUCACAAUCUGAUUCGAUAAGAUGAGAGAAAUCCAUGGAAAAGGACAUUGAGCUUACAACGAUGAGCCUUGUACUGCAAGCUAUGAGAUGCAUGUCUGGACGACUAGAUAGUUUCCAAGAAGACUGGUGAUAACAUAUACUUGAAGAGUAUUGUUUCAGCUUGAGGCAAGUUUAUGACUAAUUGAUAAUCUUGAGAGUUGUUGGCACGAUGCGCACAAUCAAUGAGAGAACAAUUCUUAGGAUAAUCCAGAAGAUGAAUGAUUGGUUAAGCUCAUUCAUGAUGAAUCAAGCAACAUCACACUUGAGGGCACACUCAUACUUGAUGAACAACGAGAGCAGUAAUCAUCGCGGACAGCCCUGGAUAGGCACGACAUUUACAGCUGAGUGGAUGACUAGCAUACGGAUAAGCCGGUAAAUCAGAAGGACAAAGAUGACUUUGGAUUGCAAACAAAGGCACCUUAUGAUGAUGGAACAUCAAAGAAGGGGGACCUAUAUUCCAAAUCAUGUAAAAAUACAUGCAUGUCAUCUAACCUCAAAACAUUGCACAAUUGUUUUUGAAUUGUUACAGGAAAAAUCCUUAAUGAGGUCCAGCAAGAUUGUGGAAAAAGAAAGAAGCAUUGCGUUGAUGAUAACAAAGAAUCGGUUUUGAUCAUUGAAUAAAAAAAAGAUGAGAUGAACCCUACCAUUAGGAAAAUCUCAAAGAAAUGAAAAGAUCAACCUUGCAAUCGGGAAGCCCCGAGUUUUCAAACUCUGCAAUCAGGAAUUAUCAAGACGCACCAAGUUUUCCAGCCCUUUUCCUGUCAUCCCUUCAGGACUUCGCCAGGUAAGUCCUAUUCUUUUCACACUUGUCACUUCACAUUCUUUUCACUUGGGUAGGUCACCCAUUACAAUGAGACCAACAUUUUUCUGGGUAGGUCACCCAUUACAACGAGACCAAUUCUCCAUGUUUUUUUUUAUCUGGGUAGGUCACCCAUUACAAUGAGACCAAUCUUCCACCUAGGUAGGUCACUCAUUACAAUGAGACCAUUCUUCCCUUUUUUCCACUUGGGUAGGUCACCCAUUACAAUGAGACCACACUCCACAUUCUUUUCAUCUGGGUAGGUCACCCAUUACAAUGAGACCGCACUUCAUAUUUUUUCUGUCUGGGUAGGUCACCCAUUACAAUGAGACCUCACUUCAUAUUUUUUCUGUCUGGGUAGGUCACCCAUUACAAUGAGACCACUUUUUACACAUUUGUUUUUUGUUUUGGUUAAAGGAGGUCGCCAGAAGGGAUCUUAGGUAGCUUUGGUUAAAGGAAAUCGCUAGAUGGGAUUUCAGAUUGACCGACUUAUAUAUUUUCUUUGGUUUUUAAAGGAGGUCGCCAGAAGGGAUCUCAGGUAGCUUCAGUUCAAGGGAAUCACUAGAUGAGAUUUCAGGUUGACCGAGCUACACAUUUUUUGGUUCUAGUUAAAGAGGUCGCCAGAUGGGAUCUCAGGUGGCUUUGGUUAAAGGGAAUCGCCAGAUAGGAUCUCAGGUGGCUUUGGUUAAAGGGAAUCGCCAGAUGGAAUUUCAGGUUGACCGAACUACACAUUCUUUGGUUCUAUUUAAGGAGGUCGCCGAAAGGGAUCUCAGGUAGCUUUGGUUAAAGAAAAUUGCCAGAUGGGAUUUCAGGUUGACCGAGUUACACACAUUCUUUGGUUUUGGUUAAAAGAGGUCGCCAGAAGGGAUCUCAGGUAGCUUUGGUUAAAGGGAAUCGCCAGAUGGGAUUUCAGGUUGACGGAGCUACACACAUUCUUUGGUUUUGGUCAAAAGAGGUCGCUAGAUGGGAUCUCAGGUGGCUUUGGUUAAAGGGAAUCGCCAGAUGGGAUUUCAGGUUGACCGAGUUACACAUUAUUUAGUUUUGGUUAAGGUGGUCGCCAGAUGGGAUCUCAGGUAGCUUUGGUUAAAGGGAAUCGCCAGACGAGAUUUCAGGUUGACCGAGCUACACACAUUCUUUAGUUUUGGUUAAAAGAGGUCGCUAGAUGGGAUCUCAAGUGGCUUUCGUUAAAGGGAAUCGCCAGAUGGGAUUUCAGGUUGACCAAGCUACACAUUCUUUGGUUCUAGUUAAGGAGGUCGCCAGAUGGGAUCUCAAGUAGCUUUGGUUAAAGGGAAUCGCCAGAUGGGAUUUCAGGUUGACCAAGCUACACAUAUUCUUUGGUUUUGGUUCAAGGAGAUCGCCAAAUGAGAUCUCAGGUUAACGGAAGAAAAAAAAAAGAAGAAAAAGAAAGGAGAAGGAAAAGAGAAAGAAACAGAAGAAAAAAAAGAAGUAAGGUCUUUAGAUGAGUGAAUAUUCAGCAAGUUAGGAAGACAAGAAGACAAGUUUUCUUUACAAAGCUUACUAUGCAAAAAAUUGAAGAGUUUUGCUUCGUAAGCAUUGUAAAGAGGGGGCAUCUGUUGCUACAUAAUUUUUGACCCAUGUUUUGAUACAUUUUCAGAAAAAAUCCAAAAAAUAGUGAAAAACAACGAAAAUCCAAAAAAUACGUUUUUAAAUAUAUUUGCAUCAUUUUUAGCAUUUUUAGUAUCGUCUCAAAAUAAUUUAAAUUUUUAAAGGUUUUUAGAACGCGUUCGACUUUUAACGCGUUAUUUUUAAAAUCACCAAUUUUCCUCAUUCGAGUCGAUGUUGAUAAGAAAAAUCCCAAAAAAAUAAGAAAAAUCAAAUUUACAAAAAAAGAAAGAAGUUGAGGGACCAAGUUUGGAAACCUAGCAAUAUUUUUACCUAUAAAUACUAGUCUCUACAACACACACAAAAGGGGGGGAUUUUGCACAAUUGAAAAAACACAAAAAACCCUAAAAAUUAAAACCCUUUCUUCUCCCUCACUAAAGCCGUCGCCCACUCCCCAUCUCUACCAAAAAAGAAGUCGCCGGCCCCCCAGGCUUUUGAUUUUCCUUCACCACAAUAGCCGACCAAACACCACCCCUCACUUUUCCCUUUCCCCUCGUCAGACCUUCCCUCUCUCAGCCUCUCCAUCGUCCCUCUCCCCUCAGCCACACACCCGACAAAAACCAGAGCUCCCCUUCUCUUCUCACAGCCCCCAUUUCCACAUAUCUUCCCUCUCAGCUGCUCCUUCUCCAGCUUCCAGCUCGCCAAGACCAAAAGGGGGGCAGAGUCGUUCCCCCUCACUCUCUCCUCUUGCUGGCCGUUUCAAUUUCUCCUUCUCCAAUCGCCAACUGAAUCAGGCCUCCCUUCCAUUCAGCCACCAGCAGCUGCACAGACACAACAGAAACUCAGCCGUCGGUCGCCCCCCAAACAACCCACAGACCCACGGUCUUCACAGUCAGCCGUAUCAGCGCCUUCUUCAUCCAGCACCGGCCAGCGGCAACCCUUCUUCCUCCAGCAGCGCCCACAGAAGCAGCUCCAUUUCCAACCGAGAACCGAUGGCCAGAUCUGCAACCAGCAAAGAACAACGAACCUAGAGAAAGAAAGAAACCAUAAGAGAUCAGAUCAAAAAAGGGGGGAAGAAUCGAGACUUUGCUUGUGUUUUUCUUCUUCUUUGCAGGUGACGUUACUCCUCACUGC